Molecule: ribosomal RNA, 485 nt
Filed under: uncultured bacterium
Lineage: Bacteria
Description: bacterial SSU rRNA
Rfam family: Bacterial small subunit ribosomal RNA
Source: RNAcentral
GACGAACGCUGGCGGCGUGCCUAAUACAUGCAAGUCGAGCGGGCUUAUUCGAGUAGCUUGCUAUUUGGAUAAGUCAGCGGCGGACGGGUGAGUAACGCGUGGGAAUCUGCCUCUUACUGGGGGAUAACAGUGGGAAACUACUGCUAAUACCGCAUAAGAUCUUCGGAUGAAAGGUGCAACUGCACCGGUAAGAGAUGAGCCCGCGUCCCAUUAGCUAGUUGGUGAGGUAAAGGCUCACCAAGGCGACGAUGGGUAGCCGGCCUGAGAGGGUGAACGGCCACACUGGGACUGAGACACGGCCCAGACUCCUACGGGAGGCAGCAGUAGGGAAUCUUCCGCAAUGGGCGCAAGCCUGACGGAGCGACGCCGCGUGAGUGAUGAAGGCCUUCGGGUCGUAAAGCUCUGUUCUUGAGGACGAAUAAGCCAGGGAGUGGAAAGCCCUGGUGAUGACUGUACUCAAGGAGAAAGCUCCGGCUAACUACGUG